This 180-nucleotide ribosomal RNA is filed under the name uncultured bacterium. Its description in RNAcentral is "partial 16S ribosomal RNA". It matches the Rfam family "Bacterial small subunit ribosomal RNA", at positions 1320 to 1500 of the family's 1533-position model. The record is from RNAcentral.
AUGAAGCUGGAAUUGCUAGUAAUGGCAGGUCAGCAUACUGCCGUGAAUACGUUCCCGGGCCUUGUACACACCGCCCGUCACACCAUGAGAGUUGGGAAUACCCGAAGCCUGUGAGCUAACAUUAAGAGGCAGCAGUCGAAGGUAGAAUCAAUGAUUGGGGUGAAGUCGUAACAAGGUACC